RNAcentral lists this ribosomal RNA (2906 nucleotides) under Salmonella enterica subsp. enterica. RNAcentral's name for it is "bacterial LSU rRNA". It matches the Rfam family "Bacterial large subunit ribosomal RNA". Lineage: Bacteria; Pseudomonadati; Pseudomonadota; Gammaproteobacteria; Enterobacterales; Enterobacteriaceae. The record is from RNAcentral. RNAcentral also lists the same sequence under 2 other names.
UUAAGCGACUAAGCGUACACGGUGGAUGCCCUGGCAGUCAGAGGCGAUGAAGGGCGUGCUAAUCUGCGAUAAGCGCCGGUAAGGUGAUAUGAACCGUUAUAACCGGCGAUACCCGAAUGGGGAAACCCAGUGUGACUCGUCACACUAUCAUUAACUGAAUCCAUAGGUUAAUGAGGCGAACCGGGGGAACUGAAACAUCUAAGUACCCCGAGGAAAAGAAAUCAACCGAGAUUCCCCCAGUAGCGGCGAGCGAACGGGGAGGAGCCCAGAGCCUGAAUCAGCAUGUGUGUUAGUGGAAGCGUCUGGAAAGGCGCGCGAUACAGGGUGACAGCCCCGUACACAAAAGCGCAUGUGCUGUGAGCUCGAUGAGUAGGGCGGGACACGUGGUAUCCUGUCUGAAUAUGGGGGGACCAUCCUCCAAGGCUAAAUACUCCUGACUGACCGAUAGUGAACCAGUACCGUGAGGGAAAGGCGAAAAGAACCCCGGCGAGGGGAGUGAAAAAGAACCUGAAACCGUGUACGUACAAGCAGUGGGAGCACAGGUUUACCUGUGUGACUGCGUACCUUUUGUAUAAUGGGUCAGCGACUUAUAUUCUGUAGCAAGGUUAACCGUAUAGGGGAGCCGUAGGGAAACCGAGUCUUAACCGGGCGUUAAGUUGCAGGGUAUAGACCCGAAACCCGGUGAUCUAGCCAUGGGCAGGUUGAAGGUUGGGUAACACUAACUGGAGGACCGAACCGACUAAUGUUGAAAAAUUAGCGGAUGACCUGUGGCUGGGGGUGAAAGGCCAAUCAAACCGGGAGAUAGCUGGUUCUCCCCGAAAGCUAUUUAGGUAGCGCCUCGUGAAUUCAUCUCCGGGGGUAGAGCACUGUUUCGGCUAGGGGGCCAUCCCGGCUUACCAACCCGAUGCAAACUGCGAAUACCGGAGAAUGUUAUCACGGGAGACACACGGCGGGUGCUAACGUCCGUCGUGAAGAGGGAAACAACCCAGACCGCCAGCUAAGGUCCCAAAGUCAUGGUUAAGUGGGAAACGAUGUGGGAAGGCCCAGACAGCCAGGAUGUUGGCUUAGAAGCAGCCAUCAUUUAAAGAAAGCGUAAUAGCUCACUGGUCGAGUCGGCCUGCGCGGAAGAUGUAACGGGGCUAAACCAUGCACCGAAGCUGCGGCAGCGACGCUGAUGCGUUGUUGGGUAGGGGAGCGUUCUGUAAGCCUGUGAAGGUGGCCUGUGAGGGUUGCUGGAGGUAUCAGAAGUGCGAAUGCUGACAUAAGUAACGAUAAAGCGGGUGAAAAGCCCGCUCGCCGGAAGACCAAGGGUUCCUGUCCAACGUUAAUCGGGGCAGGGUGAGUCGACCCCUAAGGCGAGGCCGAAAGGCGUAGUCGAUGGGAAACGGGUUAAUAUUCCCGUACUUGGUGUUACUGCGAAGGGGGGACGGAGAAGGCUAUGUUGGCCGGGCGACGGUUGUCCCGGUUUAAGCGUGUAGGUGUGUGUUCCAGGUAAAUCCGGUUCACUUUAACACUGAGGCGUGAUGACGAGGCACUACGGUGCUGAAGCAACAAAUGCCCUGCUUCCAGGAAAAGCCUCUAAGCAUCAGGUAACAUCAAAUCGUACCCCAAACCGACACAGGUGGUCAGGUAGAGAAUACCAAGGCGCUUGAGAGAACUCGGGUGAAGGAACUAGGCAAAAUGGUGCCGUAACUUCGGGAGAAGGCACGCUGACACGUAGGUGAAGUGAUUUACUCAUGGAGCUGAAGUCAGUCGAAGAUACCAGCUGGCUGCAACUGUUUAUUAAAAACACAGCACUGUGCAAACACGAAAGUGGACGUAUACGGUGUGACGCCUGCCCGGUGCCGGAAGGUUAAUUGAUGGGGUCAGCGCAAGCGAAGCUCCUGAUCGAAGCCCCGGUAAACGGCGGCCGUAACUAUAACGGUCCUAAGGUAGCGAAAUUCCUUGUCGGGUAAGUUCCGACCUGCACGAAUGGCGUAAUGAUGGCCAGGCUGUCUCCACCCGAGACUCAGUGAAAUUGAACUCGCUGUGAAGAUGCAGUGUACCCGCGGCAAGACGGAAAGACCCCGUGAACCUUUACUAUAGCUUGACACUGAACAUUGAGCCUUGAUGUGUAGGAUAGGUGGGAGGCUUUGAAGCGUGGACGCCAGUCUGCAUGGAGCCGGCCUUGAAAUACCACCCUUUAAUGUUUGAUGUUCUAACGUGGACCCGUGAUCCGGGUUGCGGACAGUGUCUGGUGGGUAGUUUGACUGGGGCGGUCUCCUCCUAAAGAGUAACGGAGGAGCACGAAGGUUGGCUAAUCCUGGUCGGACAUCAGGAGGUUAGUGCAAUGGCAUAAGCCAGCUUGACUGCGAGCGUGACGGCGCGAGCAGGUGCGAAAGCAGGUCAUAGUGAUCCGGUGGUUCUGAAUGGAAGGGCCAUCGCUCAACGGAUAAAAGGUACUCCGGGGAUAACAGGCUGAUACCGCCCAAGAGUUCAUAUCGACGGCGGUGUUUGGCACCUCGAUGUCGGCUCAUCACAUCCUGGGGCUGAAGUAGGUCCCAAGGGUAUGGCUGUUCGCCAUUUAAAGUGGUACGCGAGCUGGGUUUAGAACGUCGUGAGACAGUUCGGUCCCUAUCUGCCGUGGGCGCUGGAGAACUGAGGGGGGCUGCUCCUAGUACGAGAGGACCGGAGUGGACGCAUCACUGGUGUUCGGGUUGUCAUGCCAAUGGCACUGCCCGGUAGCUAAAUGCGGAAGAGAUAAGUGCUGAAAGCAUCUAAGCACGAAACUUGCCCCGAGAUGAGUUCUCCCUGAGACUUAGAGUCUCCUGAAGGAACGUUGAAGACGACGACGUUGAUAGGCCGGGUGUGUAAGCGCAGCGAUGCGUUGAGCUAACCGGUACUAAUGAACCGUGAGGCUUAACCUU